RNAcentral lists this ribosomal RNA (326 nucleotides) under uncultured bacterium. RNAcentral's name for it is "bacterial SSU rRNA". It matches the Rfam family "Bacterial small subunit ribosomal RNA", at positions 28 to 334 of the family's 1533-position model. The record is from RNAcentral.
GAUGAACGCGUGGCGGCGUGCUUAACACAUGCAAGUCGAACGAAGCACGUUAGGAUUGAGACUUCGGUCAAUUGAUGAAGUGACUUAGUGGCGGACGGGUGAGUAACGCGUGGGUAACCUGCCUCACACAGGGGGAUAACAGUUAGAAAUGACUGCUAAUACCGCAUAACCCGCUAGGGCCGCAUGGCCCGGACGGAAAAGAUUUAUCGGUGUGAGAUGGACCCGCGUCUGAUUAGAUAGUUGGCAGGGUAACGGCCUACCAAGUCGACGAUCAGUAGCCGGCCUGAGAGGGUGAACGGCCACAUUGGGACUGAGACACGGCCCAA